Molecule: RNA transcript, 1496 nt
Organism: Solanum verrucosum
Lineage: Eukaryota; Viridiplantae; Streptophyta; Magnoliopsida; Solanales; Solanaceae
Gene name: ATP synthase subunit beta, chloroplastic-like
Exons: 1
Source: RefSeq, a predicted model, not a curated record
AUGAGAAUCAAUCCUACUACUUUUUGUUCUGGGUUUCCACGCUUGAAAAUAAAAACACAGGGCGUGUCGUCCAAAUCAUCGGUCCGGUACUAGAUGUAGCCUUUCCCCCGGGCAAGGUGCCAAAUAUUUAUAACGCUCUGGUAGUUCAAGGUCGAGAUAGUGUUGGUCAACCAAUUAAUGUGGCUUGUGAGAUACAUCAAUUAUUAGGAAAUAAUCGAGUUAGGGCUGUAGCUAUGAGUGCUACAAACAGUCUAACGACAGGAAUGACAGUGAUUGAAACAGGAGCUCCUAUAAGUGUUCCAGUCGGGGGAGCGACUCUGGGAUGAAUUUUUAAUGUGCUCGGAGAGCAUGUUGAUAAUUUAGGGCCUGUAGAUACUAGUACAACAUCUCCUAUUCAUAGAUCCGUGCCCGCCUUUAUACAGUUGGAUACAAAAUUAUCUAUUUUUGAAACAGGAAUUAAAGUAGUAGAUCUUUUAGCCCCCUAUCGCCGUGGAGGAAAAAUCGGACUAUUCGGGGGAGCUGGAGUGGGUAAAACAGUACUCAUUAUGGAAUUGAUUAACAAUAUUGCUAAAGCUCACGGGGGCGUAUCCGUAUUUGGCGGAGUGGGUGAACGUACUCGGGAAGGAAAUGAUCUUUACAUGGAAAUGAAAGAAUCUGGAGUGAUUAAUAAAGAAAAUAUUGCAGAAUCAAAAGUGGCCCUAGUUUACGGUCAGAUGAAUGAACCGCCGGGAGCUCGUAUGAGAGUUGGUUUGACUGCCCUAACUAUGGCGGAAUAUUUCCGAGAUGUUAAUGAGCAAGACGUACUUCUAUUUAUUGACAAUAUCUUCCGUUUCGUCCAAGCAGGAUCCGAAGUAUCGGCCUUAUUGGGUAGAAUGCCUUCCGCUGUGGGUUAUCAACCGACCCUAAGUACCGAAAUGGGUUCUUUACAAGAAAGAAUUACUUCUACCAAAGACGGGUCCAUAACCUCUAUUCAAGCAGUUUAUGUACCCGCAGACGAUUUGACCGACCCUGCUCCUGCUACGACAUUUGCACAUUUAGAUGCUACUACCGUACUAUCAAGAGGAUUGGCUGCCAAAGGUAUUUAUCCAGCAGUAGAUCCUUUAGAUUCAACGUCAACCAUGCUUCAACCUCGGAUCGUUGGUGAGGAACAUUACGAAACCGCCCAAAGAGUUAAGCAAACUUUACAACGUUACAAAGAACUUCAGGACAUUAUAGCUAUCCUUGGAUUGGACGAAUUAUCCGAAGAGGAUCGUUUACUCGUAGCAAGAGCGCGAAAAAUUGAGCGUUUCUUAUCACAACCCUUUUUCGUAGCAGAAGUAUUUACCGGUUCUCCAGGGAAAUAUGUUGGUCUAGCAGAAACAAUUCGAGGAUUUCAAUUGAUCCUUUCCGGAGAAUUAGAUGGUCUUCCUGAACAGGCCUUUUAUUUGGUAGGUACUAUCGAUGAAGCUACCGCGAAGGCUAUGAACUUAGAAAUGGAGAGCAAUUUGAAGAAAUGA